This 254-nucleotide ribosomal RNA is filed under the name uncultured bacterium. RNAcentral describes it as "partial 16S ribosomal RNA". It matches the Rfam family "Bacterial small subunit ribosomal RNA", at positions 524 to 776 of the family's 1533-position model. The record is from RNAcentral.
UACGUAGGGUGCAAGCGUUUGUCCGGAAUUAUUGGGCGUAAAGAGCUCGUAGGCGGUCUGUUGCGUCGGCUGUGAAAACCCGGGGCUCAACCCCGGGCCUGCAGCCGAUACGGGCAGACUAGAGUGUGGUAGGGGAGACUGGAAUUCCUGGUGUAGCGGUGAAAUGCGCAGAUAUCAGGAGGAACACCGAUGGCGAAGGCAGGUCUCUGGGCCACUACUGACGCUGAGACGCGAAAGCGUGGGGAGCAAACAGG